Molecule: ribosomal RNA, 451 nt
Filed under: uncultured bacterium
Lineage: Bacteria
Description: partial 16S ribosomal RNA
Rfam family: Bacterial small subunit ribosomal RNA
Source: RNAcentral
AACGAACGCUGGCGGCAGGCCUAAUACAUGCAAGUCGAACGCUUGUAGCAACACAAGAGUGGCGCACGGGUGAAUAACACGUGGGAAUAUGCCUUUUGGUACGGGACAACCUCGGGAAACUGAGGCUAAUACCGUAUGGUCCCUUCGGGGUAAAGAUUUAUCGCCAAAAGAUUAGCCCGCGUCUAAUUAGCUAGUUGGUGAGGUAACGGCUCACCAAGGCGACGAUCAGUAGCUGGUCUGCGAGGACGAUCAGCCACACUGGGACUGAGACACGGCCCAGACUCCUACGGGAGGCAGCAGUAGGGAAUAUUGGACAAUGGGCGCAAGCCUGAUCCAGCCAUGCCGCGUGAGUGAUGAAGGCCUUCGGGUUGUAAAACUCUUUAGCCCGCGAAUAAAAUGACUGUAGCGGGAAAAUAAGCCCCGGCUAACUUCGUGCCAGCAGCCGCCGUAA